UGUGGGAGCUGGCUUGCCAGCGAUGGCGGCUUGGCAUUCGGCGGAUAUGUUGACUGACCCACCGCUAUCGCUGGCAAGCCAGCUCCCACA
RNAcentral lists this unclassified non-coding RNA (90 nucleotides) under Pseudomonas sp. Z003-0.4C(8344-21). Lineage: Bacteria; Pseudomonadati; Pseudomonadota; Gammaproteobacteria; Pseudomonadales; Pseudomonadaceae. The record is from RNAcentral.